RNAcentral lists this ribosomal RNA (500 nucleotides) under uncultured bacterium. Its description in RNAcentral is "partial 16S ribosomal RNA". It matches the Rfam family "Bacterial small subunit ribosomal RNA", at positions 30 to 523 of the family's 1533-position model. The record is from RNAcentral.
AUUGAACGCUGGCGGCAUGCCUUACACAUGCAAGUCGAACGGCAGCACGGGAGCAAUCCUGGUGGCGAGUGGCGAACGGGUGAGUAAAGUAUCGGAACGUGCCCAGUCGUGGGGGAUAACGUAGCGAAAGUUACGCUAAUACCGCAUACGAUCUAUGGAUGAAAGCGGGGGAUCGCAAGACCUCGCGUGAUUGGAGCGGCCGAUAUCAGAUUAGGUAGUUGGGGGGGUAAAGGCUCACCAAGCCGACGAUCUGUAGCUGGUCUGAGAGGACGACCAGCCACACUGGGACUGAGACACGGCCCAGACUCCUACGGGAGGCAGCAGUGGGGAAUUUUGGACAAUGGGCGCAAGCCUGAUCCAGCCAUGCCGCGUGCAGGAUGAAGGCCUUCGGGUUGUAAACUGCUUUUGUACGGAACGAAAAGGUUUGACUUAAUACGUUGGACUCAUGACGGUACUGUAAGAAUAAGCACCGGCUAACUACGUGCCAGCCGCCGCUGUAA